This 427-nucleotide ribosomal RNA is filed under the name uncultured bacterium. RNAcentral describes it as "bacterial SSU rRNA". It matches the Rfam family "Bacterial small subunit ribosomal RNA", at positions 355 to 774 of the family's 1533-position model. The record is from RNAcentral.
UGGGGAAUUUUGGACAAUGGGCGCAAGCCUGAUCCAGCAAUGCCGCGUGCAGGAUGAAGGCCUUCGGGUUGUAAACCGCUUUUGUCAGGGAAGAAACGAGUUUCUCUAAUACAGAGACUUAAUGACGGUACCGUAAGAAUAAGCACCGGCUAACUACGUGCCAGCAGCCGCGGUAAUACGUAGGGUGCGAGCGUUAAUCGGAAUUACUGGGCGUAAAGCGUGCGCAGGCGGUUAUAUAAGACAGAUGUGAAAUCCCCGGGCUCAACCUGGGACCUGCAUUUGUGACUGUAUAGCUAGAGUACGGUAGAGGGGGAUGGAAUUCCGCGUGUAGCAGUGAAAUGCGUAGAUAUGCGGAGGAACACCGAUGGCGAAGGCAAUCCCCUGGACCUGUACUGACGCUCAUGCACGAAAGCGUGGGGAGCAAACA